UGGGACGUGGUGUACGGUGCACCGCAGUAUUCAAUAGAUUUUGAAAUGACGAAGUAAAGCAGCAGGCCGGGGUUCGACUCCCCGCGUCCCAA
Mycena epipterygia is the source of this 92-nucleotide non-coding RNA. The record is from the annotation of a GenBank genome assembly. Lineage: Eukaryota; Fungi; Basidiomycota; Agaricomycetes; Agaricales; Mycenaceae.